This 481-nucleotide ribosomal RNA is filed under the name uncultured eukaryote. RNAcentral describes it as "bacterial SSU rRNA". It matches the Rfam family "Eukaryotic small subunit ribosomal RNA", at positions 630 to 1108 of the family's 1831-position model. The record is from RNAcentral.
GUAGUUGAACGUUCGGGUUCCGCGGGACGGGGCCGCCCCGCGAGGGACGGCGCCGCCCCGGGGCUCGUGAUAUCUCAUCUCGCCGCCCGUCGCGAGGCGGACGGAGGGAUGGAUGAGGUUACCUGGAAAAAAUCGGGGCGAUCUAGGCGGGCGAACCUCGCCAACGAACGAUCGGACAUGGGAUAACGGAAGAGGGCGUCGGCUCGACUUCGUCGGUUCCUCGGGGCCGAGGCACGUACGGUGAAUAGGGACGGUCGGGGGCCGCCCCGUUACCGGGUCGUGAGAGGUGAAAUUCUAGGAUCGACCCGAGACGAACCGCCGCGAAAGCAUUCGGCAAGGACGCUUUCAUUAAUCAAGAACGAAAAGUCGGGGGAUCGAAGACGAUCAGAUACCGUCGUAGUCCCGACCGUAAACGAUGCCGACCGAGGCCCGGAGGAGUUACGUACGACCUCCGGGCCUCCGCGAGAAAUCAGGAGUAUUC